RNAcentral lists this ribosomal RNA (253 nucleotides) under uncultured bacterium. Its description in RNAcentral is "partial 16S ribosomal RNA". It matches the Rfam family "Bacterial small subunit ribosomal RNA", at positions 524 to 776 of the family's 1533-position model. The record is from RNAcentral.
UACGAAGGGUGCAAGCGUUACUCGGAAUUACUGGGCGUAAAGGGUGCGUAGGUGGUUGUUUAAGUCUGUUGUGAAAGCCCCGGGCUCAACCUGGGAAUGGCAAUGGAUACUGGACAGCUAGAGUGCGGUAGAGGGUAGUGGAAUUCCCAGUGUAGAGGUGAAAUUCGUAGAUAUUGGGAAGAACACCGGUGGCGAAGGCGGCUCUCUGGACCGAGACUGACGCUGAGGCGCGAAAGCGUGGGGAGCAAACAGG